AAACCAGAAUCCUACUUACCAUGAUCAUGAAGGUGGUGUCCCCAGGGCCAGUUUACCCAUUGCACAUCACAUGUGCUGACCCCUGCGAUUUCCCCAAAUGUGGGAAACUCAGCUGCGUAAUCUGUGGUAAUGGGGGACUGCAUUCACACUCUCCCUUA
Molossus molossus (Pallas's mastiff bat) is the source of this 158-nucleotide small nuclear RNA. RefSeq annotates it as U1 spliceosomal RNA. The record is from RefSeq and is a predicted model, not a curated record. Lineage: Eukaryota; Metazoa; Chordata; Mammalia; Chiroptera; Molossidae. The transcript has a single exon.